This 224-nucleotide long non-coding RNA is filed under the name Gallus gallus (chicken). The record is from RNAcentral. Lineage: Eukaryota; Metazoa; Chordata; Aves; Galliformes; Phasianidae.
CCGUAUCCCAGCACCACGACGAGCAGCAGCAGCGCGGCGCCCAGCACAGCGCCCGCCACGAAGCGCAGCAGCACAAUGAACAGCAAGCUGGCAGCCAUGGCGAUCACCAACCCGAUGACGAUCCAAUACCACGACACCGUGUAGUCCUCAAAGAUGCGCAUGGCCAACUGCCGCCCCUCCAGCACCGCGUUGGCGCUCCUGGCUCCCUGCAGCAGCUCGCUGAC